This 253-nucleotide ribosomal RNA is filed under the name uncultured bacterium. RNAcentral describes it as "partial 16S ribosomal RNA". It matches the Rfam family "Bacterial small subunit ribosomal RNA", at positions 524 to 776 of the family's 1533-position model. The record is from RNAcentral.
UACGUAGGGGGCUAGCGUUGUCCGGAAUCAUUGGGCGUAAAGAGCGUGUAGGCGGCCCGAUAAGUCCGCUGUGAAAGUCGGGGGCUCAACCCUCGGAUGCCGGUGGAUACUGUCGGGCUCGAGUACGGAAGAGGCGAGUGGAAUUCCUGGUGUAGCGGUGAAAUGCGCAGAUAUCAGGAGGAACACCUAUUGCGAAGGCAGCUCGCUGGGACGUUACUGACGCUGAGACGCGAAAGCGUGGGGAGCAAACAGG